Molecule: small nucleolar RNA, 132 nt
Filed under: Choloepus hoffmanni (Hoffmann's two-fingered sloth)
Lineage: Eukaryota; Metazoa; Chordata; Mammalia; Pilosa; Megalonychidae
Description: Small nucleolar RNA SNORA51 (ENSCHOG00000015228.1)
Rfam family: Small nucleolar RNA SNORA51
About the family: ACA51 is a member of the H/ACA class of snoRNA that guide the sites of modification of uridines to pseudouridines.
Source: RNAcentral
GGCCUCCUGAUGCUUACCACAGGCUGUGUUCUUACACUGACUGUAUAGAAAGAGGAGGCAGAGUAAACCUACCCCAUCUACACCUCAGCCCAGGCCUUGUGCCUGGGCUGUAUUGCAAAUGGGGGGACAUGG